UCUGAUUCGCUUGGUGCAGGUCGGGAACAGCUUUGCCGUCGAUUUUCACAUUUGUCUUCACGGUGUGAGAAACUCGUACGGUGGUUGUUGCUCUUGCCUUACAUCAACUGAAUCUGAA
RNAcentral lists this microRNA precursor (118 nucleotides) under Cynara cardunculus (cardoon). RNAcentral describes it as "miR168a stem-loop (cca-MIR168a)". Its record names the gene cca-MIR168a. Lineage: Eukaryota; Viridiplantae; Streptophyta; Magnoliopsida; Asterales; Asteraceae. The record is from miRBase by way of RNAcentral. RNAcentral also lists the same sequence under 1 other name.